RNAcentral lists this long non-coding RNA (2484 nucleotides) under Salmo salar (Atlantic salmon). RNAcentral's name for it is "lncRNA (ENSSSAG00000082342.1)". Lineage: Eukaryota; Metazoa; Chordata; Actinopteri; Salmoniformes; Salmonidae. The record is from RNAcentral.
AAUACACUCAGCCUCUCGUUGGCACCAGGGACACUGAUGUUUUGUGUGUGUGUGUGUGUGUCUGUGAGCACGUGUGUGGAAGAGAACAGAGAAGUCCUGUAUAGUGUAACAGGUGAGUGAGAGGCGCCUGCAGUGGAUUCCCCAGGACACUACAGGACAGACCAGACAGACAGGCAGCACCACUCAACACACUGGCUGCAUAGCCUACAUAGUGAGACACAUGGAUCAAACACCAUACUGAGGUCGCUAAUGAAUGAAGUAUCACAUCACCUUAAACAAUCACCUGAAGAGUUGCAUCGUUUCAUUACUUUGUAAUGGGGUCAUUUAGUUCAGAUAAACUCCACAACUCUAACCAGUCCCUUAACAGUAGAAGUGUGAUAGAGUCUGACAGAGAGAGCAGUUGAGGUGGGGAGGACCGUAGAGCAGUUGAGGUGGGGAGGACCGUAGAGCAGUUGAGGUGGGGAGGACCGUAGAGCAGUUGAGGUGGGGAGGACCGUAGAGCAGUUGAGGUGGGGAGGACCGUAGAGCAGUUGAGGUGGGGAGGCUGUUCAUAUCAACAGGCGGUCAGGUGUUUUUUUCUUCUUAACAUUCCCACAAUGUUAAUCUGCCCUGGAACGUACCGGCCACUGGAUAGGAGGUGUUAGUGGGAACGUACGGGCCACUGGAUAGGAGGUGUUAGUGGGAACGUACCGGCCACUAGAUAGGAGGUGUUAGUGGGAACGUACCGGCCACUGGAUAGGAGGUGUUAGUGGGAAAGUACCGGCCACUGGAUAGGAGGUGUUAGUGGGAACGUACCGGCCACUGGAUAGGAGGUGUUAGUGGGAACGUACCGGCCACUGGAUAGGAGGUGUUAGUGGGAACGUACCGGCCACUGGAUAGGAGGUGUUAGUGGGAACGUACCGGCCACUGGAUAGGAGGAGUGAGUGGGAACGUGCCGGCCACUGGAUAGGAGGAGUGAGUGGGAACGUGCCGGCCACUGGAUAGGAGGAGUGAGUGGGAACGUACCGGCCACUGGAUAGGAGGAGUGACGGGGAACGUGCCGGCCACUGGAUAGGAGGUGUGAGGGGGAACGUACCGGCCACUGCAUAGGAGGUGUUAGUGGGAACGUACCGGCCACUGGAUAGGAGGAGUGAGUGGGAACGUACCGGCCACUGGAUAGGAGGUGUUAGUGGGAACGUACCGGCCACUGGAUAGGAGGUGUUAGUGGGAACGUACCGGCCACUGGAUAGGAGGAGUGAGGGGGAACGUGCCGGCCACUGGAUAGGAGGAGUGAGGGGGAACGUGCCGGCCACUGGAUAGGAGGUGUUAGUGGGAACGUGCCGGCCACUGGAUAGGAGGUGUUAGUGGGAACGUGCCGGCCACUGGAUAGGAGGACUGAGUGGGAACGUGCCGGCCACUGGAUAGGAGGAGUGAGUGGGAACGUACCGGCCACUGGAUAGGAGGAGUGACGGGGAACGUGCCGGCCACUGGAUAGGAGGUGUGAGGGGGAACGUACCGGCCACUGCAUAGGAGGUGUUAGUGGGAACGUACCGGCCACUGGAUAGGAGGAGUGAGUGGGAACGUGCCUGCCACUGGAUAGGAGGUGUUAGUGGGAACGUGCCGGCCACUGGAUAGGAGGAGUGAGGGGGAACGUGCCGGCCACUGGAUAGGAGGUGUUAGUGGGAACGUGCCGCCCACUGGAUAGGAGGAGUGAGUGGGAACGUACCGGCCACUGGAUAGGAGGAGUGAGUGGGAACGUGCCGGCCACUGGAUAGGAGGUGUUAGUGGGAACGUGCCGGCCACUGGAUAGGAGUAGUGAGUGGGAACGUGCCGGCCACUGGAUAGGAGGAGUGAGUGGGAACGUACCGGCCACUGGAUAGGAGGAGUGAGUGGGAACGUGCCGGCCACUGGAUAGGAGGUGUGAGUGGGAACGUACCGGCCACUGGAUAGGAGGUGUGAGUGGGAACGUACCGGCCACUGGAUAGGAGGUGUUAGUGGGAACGUACCGGCCACUGGAUAGGAGGUGUUAGUGGGAACGUACCGGCCACUGGAUAGGAGGUGUUAGUGGGAACGUACCGGCCACUGGAUAGGAGGUGUUAGUGGGAAUGUACCGGCCACUGGAUAGGAGGAGUGAGUGGGAACGUUCGGCCACUGGAUAGGAGGUGUUAGUGGGAACGUGCCGGCCACUGGAUAGGAGGUGUGAGUGGGAACGUACCGGCCACUGGAUAGGAGGAGUGAGUGGGAACGUGCCGAUAGGAGGAGUGAGUGGGAACGUACCGGCCACUGGAUAGGAGGAGUGAUGGGAGUCAUGCUGUGUUUUCUUUGAUAAUGUAUUGAAUGUGAGGUUUGGAUGCAUGCCGUGCAGGUCAGUAUAAGACCAACUGUAACAGUAUCUAACGUUGUGGCUUGCGAGACACAGCUACAGCAAGUCUGCCUACCCAGGAACUACAGAUGGAAAGUAUUGGAGUUGGUCUGGACUUAUGUCGGCUAUUGCUGUUGAGGAGC